GAUGAACGCUGGCGGCGUGCCUAAUACAUGCAAGUCGAGCGAACAGACGAGGAGCUUGCUCCUCUGACGUUAGCGGCGGACGGGUGAGUAACACGUGGAUAACCUACCUAUAAGACUGGGAUAACUUCGGGAAACCGGAGCUAAUACCGGAUAAUAUAUUGAACCGCAUGGUUCAAUAGUGAAAGACGGUUUUGCUGUCACUUAUAGAUGGAUCCGCGCCGCAUUAGCUAGUUGGUAAGGUAACGGCUUACCAAGGCAACGAUGCGUAGCCGACCUGAGAGGGUGAUCGGCCACACUGGAAUUGAGACACGGUCCAGACUCCUACGGGAGGCAGCAGUAGGGAAUCUUCCGCAAUGGGCGAAAGCUUGACGGAGCAACGCCGCGUGAGUGAUGAAGGUCUUCGGAUCGUAAAACUCUGUUAUUAGGGAAGAACAAAUGUGUAAGUAACUAUGCACGUCUUGACGGUACCUAAUCAGAAAGCCACGGCUAACUACGUG
This 497-nucleotide ribosomal RNA is filed under the name uncultured bacterium. Its description in RNAcentral is "partial 16S ribosomal RNA". It matches the Rfam family "Bacterial small subunit ribosomal RNA", at positions 28 to 507 of the family's 1533-position model. The record is from RNAcentral.